This 466-nucleotide ribosomal RNA is filed under the name uncultured bacterium. Its description in RNAcentral is "partial 16S ribosomal RNA". It matches the Rfam family "Bacterial small subunit ribosomal RNA", at positions 28 to 507 of the family's 1533-position model. The record is from RNAcentral.
GAUGAACGCUGGCGGCGUGCUUAACACAUGCAAGUCGAACGAUGAAGCCCAGCUUGCUGGGUGGAUUAGUGGCGAACGGGUGAGUGACACGUGAGUAACCUGCCCUUAACUCUGGGAUAAGCCUGGGAAACUGGGUCUAAUACCGGAUAGGAGCGCCUACCGCAUGGUGGGUGUUGGAAAGAUUUAUCGGUUUUGGAUGGACUCGCGGCCUAUCAGCUUGUUGGUGAGGUAAUGGCUCACCAAGGCGACGACGGGUAGCCGGCCUGAGAGGGUGACCGGCCACACUGGGACUGAGACACGGCCCAGACUCCUACGGGAGGCAGCAGUGGGGAAUAUUGCACAAUGGGCGAAAGCCUGAUGCAGCGACGCCGCGUGAGGGAUGACGGCCUUCGGGUUGUAAACCUCUUUCAGUAGGGAAGAAGCGAAAGUGACGGUACCUGCAGAAGAAGCACCGGCUAACUACGUG